Molecule: small nuclear RNA, 158 nt
Organism: Phodopus roborovskii (desert hamster)
Lineage: Eukaryota; Metazoa; Chordata; Mammalia; Rodentia; Cricetidae
Product: U1 spliceosomal RNA
Exons: 1
Source: RefSeq, a predicted model, not a curated record
CAACCUGCAGAGAUACCUUGAUUGCAAAGGUGCUUUUCCUGGGGUGAGACUUAUCUAUUGCUCUCCAGAUGUGCUGACCCCUGUGAUUUCUCCAAAUGUGGGAAACUCAACUGCGUAAUUUGUGGUAGUGCGGGACUGCGUAUUAGUGCUGUCCCCUA